ACAGAGGGUGCGAGCGUUAAUCGGAAUUACUGGGCGUAAAGCGCACGCAGGCGGUCGGAUGAGUCGGAUGUGAAAGCCCUGGGCUUAACCUGGGAAUGGCGCUUGUGACUGGCGGGCUGGAGUACGGCAGAGGGGGGUGGAAUUCCACGUGUAGCAGUGAAAUGCGUAGAGAUGUGGAGGAACACCGAUGGCGAAGGCAGCCCCCUGGGCCGAUACUGGCGCUCAUGCACGAAAGCGUGGGGAGCAAACAG
Molecule: ribosomal RNA, 251 nt
Filed under: uncultured prokaryote
Description: partial 16S ribosomal RNA
Rfam family: Bacterial small subunit ribosomal RNA
Source: RNAcentral